Molecule: long non-coding RNA, 835 nt
Filed under: Polistes fuscatus (common paper wasp)
Lineage: Eukaryota; Metazoa; Arthropoda; Insecta; Hymenoptera; Vespidae
Description: uncharacterized LOC122525996, transcript variant X1
Source: RNAcentral
GUAGUCUCUAAUAUGAAGUUUUCAAGAACAUAUGUCACAAUAUGUCACAGUUAGGCGUCCUCCGCCCUGGAUUUUUCUGUUUGAACAUAUAGAACAAUCCUUACUCUUUACAUCUUCACAGUAUCGCAAUAUAUGUAGUUUGCCAUUAAGCCUUUCCUCUUUAUCUGAGGAGGAUAAUCUUCCUGAUUUUGAAGAUGCUCCAUCACGAAAAUCACCUACAAGUUGUUCCACCAAUUUCUGGACCAAAAUAAAAUGUGACAUAGACGUCUUAUUUUUUCUUCUAGCUAACAUCUCAGCUAUAAGAUGUAGCUAUUGAUUGUGCAUAUCUCGAAUCCCCAGAAAAAAAUGUUCUUCACCAUUUACAUGAUUUCCUUAUAAAAUAAUAUGAACUUGCUAAUGUAGACGGUGCUACCUUCUUUUAAUCUUCUUUGUAUAGCUUUCAUAUUCGAGGUAUCGUAGCUGCUUAAUAUGCUGAUUGUUUAAUCAUAUCUAGAAUAUAUUUUUUUUAACGGUACCAGGUAAAUAACACCUUAGUUUUAAACUCUUGCAAAAUAUCUAUCUAUAAAGAUAUGAUAUUCCUUUACCUCAGAAUUUGCGUUCAAUAACUUUUGAUAUAGUUGUAAAACAAUCCUUGAACUUACAGGGAGGUCUAGACGUAUGAUACAUUCUAUACUAACGUUUCUGUAGUAGGGAAGCAUAGCAUAUAUGUAUCCUGUACGUGCGUCUGAUAAUACAAAUACGGAUUCCCUAUUUGGUGGGCUUAUUGGGAUUGUAAGUUAUGAAACUAAUUUUGCCCUUAAAUUUAACAAUAAAUUCAUCGAUUGAUAUUUCUUUA